CCCCUAGAUGUUCUGGGCCGCACGCGCGCUACACUGAACAGUUCAACAAGUCUUAACCUUGGCCGAUAGGUCUGGGUAAUCUUUGAACGCUGUUCGUGAUUGGGAUAGACCUUUGCAAUUAUGGGUCUUCAACGAGGAAUUCCUAGUAAACGCAAGUCAUCAGCUUGCAUUGAUUACGUCCCUGCCCUUUGUACACACCGCCCGUCGCACCUACCGAUUGAAUGGUCCGGUGAAAUCUCGGGAUGGCGGCUUGGUCGCUUGCGUCCGACUGCUGAAACUUGAUUAAACCAUAUCAUUUAGAGGAAGGUGAAGUCGUAACA
This 320-nucleotide ribosomal RNA is filed under the name uncultured eukaryote. RNAcentral's name for it is "partial 18S ribosomal RNA". It matches the Rfam family "Eukaryotic small subunit ribosomal RNA", at positions 1470 to 1796 of the family's 1831-position model. The record is from RNAcentral.